GAUGAACGCUGGCGGCGUGCUUAACACAUGCAAGUCGAGCGAAGCGAUUUUAAGGAAGCUUUCGGGUGGAAUUAAAGUUGACUGAGCGGCGGACAGGUGAGUAACGCGUGGGUAACCUGCCUCAUACAGGGGGAUAACAGUUAGAAAUGACUGCUAAUACCGCAUAAGCGCACAGUGCUGCAUAGCACAGUGUGAAAAACUCCGGUGGUAUGAGAUGGACCCGGGUCUGAUUAGGUAGUUGGUAGGGUUAAGGCCUACCAAGCCGACGAUCAAUAGCCGACCUGAGAGGGUGACCGGCCACAUUGGGACUGAGACACGGGCCAAAAUCCUACGGGAGGCAGAAGUGGGGAAUAUUGGACAAUGGGGGAAACCCUGAACCAGCGACGCCGCGUGAGUGAAGAAGUAUUUCGGUAUGUAAAGCUCUAUCAGCAGGGAAGAAAAUGACGGUACCUGACUAAGAAGCCCCGGCUAACUACGUGCCAGCAGCCGCAGUAA
Molecule: ribosomal RNA, 495 nt
Filed under: uncultured bacterium
Lineage: Bacteria
Description: partial 16S ribosomal RNA
Rfam family: Bacterial small subunit ribosomal RNA
Source: RNAcentral